GGACAAAGUCUGAUGGAGCAACGCCGCGUGAGUGAAGAAGGGUUUCGGCUCGUAAAACUCUGUUGUUAAAGAAGAACAUAUCUGAGAGUAACUGUUCAGGUAUUGACGGUAUUUAACCAGAAAGCCACGGCUAACUACGUGCCAGCAGCCGCGGUAAUACGUAGGUGGCAAGCGUUGUCCGGAUUUAUUGGGCGUAAAGCGAGCGCAGGCGGUUUUAAGUCUGAUGUGAAAGCCUUCGGCUCAACCGAAGAAGUGCAUCGGAAACUGGGAAACUUGAGUGCAGAAGAGGACAGUGGAACUCCAUGUGUAGCGGUGAAAUGCGUAGAUAUAUGGAAGAACACCAGUGGCGAAGGCGGCUGUCUGGUCUGUAACUGACGCUGAGGCUCGAAAGUAUGGGUAGCAAACAGGAUUAGAUACCCUGGUAG
RNAcentral lists this ribosomal RNA (425 nucleotides) under uncultured bacterium. RNAcentral's name for it is "bacterial SSU rRNA". It matches the Rfam family "Bacterial small subunit ribosomal RNA", at positions 373 to 793 of the family's 1533-position model. The record is from RNAcentral.